This 509-nucleotide ribosomal RNA is filed under the name uncultured crenarchaeote. RNAcentral's name for it is "bacterial SSU rRNA". It matches the Rfam family "Archaeal small subunit ribosomal RNA", at positions 347 to 859 of the family's 1478-position model. Lineage: Archaea; Thermoproteati; Thermoproteota. The record is from RNAcentral.
CCUCUGCAAUAGGCGAAAGCCUGACAGGUUACUCUGAGUGACUUUCGCUAAGAAAGUCUUUUGACACCUCUAAAAAUGGUGUAGAAUAAGGGGUGGGCAAGUCUGGUGUCAGCCGCCGCGGUAAUACCAGCACCCCGAGUGGUCGGGACGAUUAUUGGGCCUAAAGCAUCCGUAGCCGGCCUUACAAGUCCUCCGUUAAAUCCAGCUGCUUAACAGAUGGGCCGCGGAGGAUACUAUAAGACUAGGAGGCAGGAGAGGCAAGCGGUACUCAGUGGGUAGGGGUAAAAUCCGUUGAUCCAUUGAAGACCACCAGUGGCGAAGGCGGCUUGCCAGAAUGCGCUCGACGGUGAGGGAUGAAAGCUGGGGGAGCAAACCGGAUUAGAUACCCGGGUAGUCCCAGCUGUAAACGAUGCAGACUCGGUGAUGGACCAGCUUAAUGCUAGUCCAGUGCCGCAGGGAAGCCGUUAAGUCUGCCGCCUGGGUAGUACGGUCGCAAGACUGAAACUUAA